Molecule: ribosomal RNA, 411 nt
Filed under: Oligoneuriella rhenana
Lineage: Eukaryota; Metazoa; Arthropoda; Insecta; Ephemeroptera; Oligoneuriidae
Description: partial 16S ribosomal RNA
Rfam family: Bacterial large subunit ribosomal RNA
Source: RNAcentral
CUGAAAUUUAAAUGGCCGCGGUAUUUUGACCGUGCAAAGGUAGCAUAAUCAUUAGUCUUUUAAUUGAGGGCUAGUAUGAAUGGCGUCACGACGUAUUUCCUGUCUCAGAGAUUUUAUUUAAAAUUUAAUUUUUAAGUCAAAAAGCUUAAAUUUUAUUAUAAGACGAGAAGACCCUAUAGAUCUUUAUAAGUCAGAAUUAAUAAGAAUUUAUCUUUUUUAUUAUUUUUAAGCUUAUUUUGUUGGGGUGACAAGAAAAUAAAUAGAACUUUUCUUACUAUUACAUAGAUUUAUGUUUAUAUGAUCCGUUAUAAAUGAUUAUUAGACUAAGAUACCUUAGGGAUAACAGCGUUAUUCUUUUCGAGAGUUCUUAUCGACAAAAGAGUUUGCGACCUCGAUGUUGGACUAAGAAAA